AGUGGCAGACGGGUGAGUAAUGUAUAGGAAUCUACCUAGUAGUACGGAAUAAUUGUUGGAAACGGCAACUAAUACCGUAUACGCCCUACGGGGGAAAGAUUUAUCGCUAUUAGAUGAGCCUAUAUUAGAUUAGCUAGUUGGUAAGGUAAUGGCUUACCAAGGCAAUGAUCUAUAGCUGAUCUGAGAGGAUGAUCAGCCACACUGGAACUGAGAUACGGUCCAGACUCCUACGGGAGGCAGCAGUGGGGAAUAUUGGACAAUGAGCGAAAGCCUGAUCCAGCCAUGCCGCAUGAGUGAAGAAGGCCUUUGGGUUGUAAAGCUCUUUCGGUGAGGAAGAUAAUGACGGUACUCACAGAAGAAGUCCUGGCUAACUCCGUGCCAGCAGCCGCGGUAAUACGGAGAGGGCUAGCGUUAUUCGGAAUUAUUGGGCGUAAAGAGCGCGUAGGCGGGUUAAUAAGUUAAAAGUGAAAUCCCAAGGCUCAACCUUGGAACUGCUUUUAAAACUGCUAGUCUAGAGAUUGAAAGAGGAUAGAGGAAUUCCUAGUGUAGAGGUGAAAUUCGUAAAUAUUANGAGGAACACCAGUGGCGA
RNAcentral lists this ribosomal RNA (589 nucleotides) under uncultured Wolbachia sp. RNAcentral's name for it is "bacterial SSU rRNA". It matches the Rfam family "Bacterial small subunit ribosomal RNA", at positions 94 to 718 of the family's 1533-position model. Lineage: Bacteria; Pseudomonadati; Pseudomonadota; Alphaproteobacteria; Rickettsiales; Anaplasmataceae. The record is from RNAcentral.